RNAcentral lists this ribosomal RNA (322 nucleotides) under uncultured bacterium. RNAcentral's name for it is "bacterial SSU rRNA". It matches the Rfam family "Bacterial small subunit ribosomal RNA", at positions 29 to 334 of the family's 1533-position model. The record is from RNAcentral.
AACGAACGCUGGCGGCGUGCCUAACACAUGCAAGUCGAGCGAGAAAGUACCUUCGGGUGCGAGUAAAGCGGCGCACGGGUGAGUAACACGUGGGUAACCUACCCUCAGGUCUGGAAUAACUCGGGGAAACUCAAGCUAAUACCAGAUGAGACCACGUUACGAGAGUAGCGUGGGAAAAGCAGGGGAUCUCUUCGGAGACCUUGUGCCAGAGGAUGGGCCCGCGGUCCAUCAGUUUGUUGGUGGGGUAACGGCCUACCAAGACUAAGACGGAUAGCUGGUCUGAGAGGAUGAUCAGCCACACUGGAACUGAGACACGGUCCAG